ACCACUGCUGACAGUUGCGUUAUGCCAUCUGCAAUACAAACAACAAAAAAUCUCUAGUGACGAUCAGGAUAGAAUAUUAAAUCAAACGGUCCUGGAGCCUUUGAAUUCCCAGAGACUAUCUCGAGAAGCACCCCCAGCCGGUGAGUUUCCUCGAGCCUCUAACCGAAUUACUCACUAAUGAAUUGCCUGCCGAAUUUUUUCUCUGCUUUCUUCACUUUUAUCUCGUAGGACAGCGUCAUUGGUCUCAAUCAGGAUAUCACUUUCCGGAUGGAUCUUUUGUCUUUUUCUCUCGCUCCCUCAGAUCCAUGGAAACGUGAUUCCCCAGGUGACGGGACUAUUAUUUUAUAAAAUUUUAUUGCAUUCUUGUUGGGAACGAUCGUAAUUUCAUUUUCGCUUGCUCCCGAGAGGGUGCGGACACCAGAGCGUUGGUAAUUUGGGUUACUCCAACCACGCCGUUUGAACAAAAAUAAAAAAGGAAGAGGGAACGAGGACGAGGGAAAGAAAAAAAUGAGAUGAAAAAAUCCCGUGAUGAACCUUGCCAGGGGAGACAGCGAAUACGGUGAGGAACAGAGGCCAAUCGGCGCACACUGCGAACUAGGCUAGGUGGAUGGACUAUUUCCAAAACUUGAGAAUUCCAAUGAAGAACUGUUUAUUCCCUAUUUUGCACGAUCAAUUGGUUGAACGAAAGGGAAAAAAAAGAUGGGCAACAGAGAGGCUAUUUCUUUCGUCACGCUCCGUGGGCGUUCUAGUAUACAUCAAAGUGCCCAGCUCUUACGUGCACUACGACGGGCCGGGUCGGGUUGCAUCGCACGCGGCGCUCGAAUGUGUUUGACGAGCGAUCCAUCGAUGUGGCCCGAUGAAGUCCGACCCGGCCCGUCAGCCGAUGUGCGCUCUUCCAUUUGAGAUACAUAAAAGCGGUUAGAAAAAUGCGAUGCAACCCGGCUUGACCAGGUCCAGUGUCAGGCCAGAGCCGGUCGGAAAACCUCGAAUCGGGGUUGCGCUGCAUUUUCAUUGGGCAAAUCCCGACGAGAAAUUACGUCGUUAAGCAGCAGCAUGGGUCACUGGGAACUAAACCGAAAUUCAGGGGCUUUCUCUGUUUCCUUCGCAUUCUUUCUCUCGGCAACCAAAAGCGCCUAUUCAUGCGUGCGAACACAGAGCUCGCUGCGGAACACCAGAGAGAUGUUGUGUAUACAUUCACCCGUCGAUCGACUCGUAAUAAAAUUAUCGCCCCGCGUUAUUACCGUCAGACGGGUUUGGUUGCGUUUCAAAAAAUUCCAGUUCUCUUCUCGAGAGAUUUUUUUUUACACGUGCUCUCUGUAUCCUGGGAAUAUCACUUAUUCGACGGAUAUAUAAAUAUAAUGAAACGCAUUUUUUACCAAAGUAUCGGUCGCAGGUCACGCCUCGAAAUAAACAUUAAAUGAGGUUGCUGCAAGAGGCCCGCAUGUAAAAUAAUUCGUGCAUGCAUAGAUGGGAGUAUUCGAAUUGGCUAUCCAAGCGUAAAAAGCUGCCACAUAUAAAAAUCGAAGUGAAAAGUCGUUACAGGGGGAAAAAGAAACCGGAACGUGUCUCUCAGCUGUAACAAUGUAAAGGACCGAUACACGACCAGAGUGCAUUCGACGAGUGAACGAAUGAAUAAACCAUUGAAAAGGAAAGGAACAGUAAACAUAAUACGAAAAGUGACGGUAGCGUGAUCCGAAGAAGUGAGAACAUAAGCGUGAAAUUAUAAUUACACGAUCGCGAGAUAAUAGCAUGGACUCUGAGACCGGAUUGUACGUGAGGAUAAAAAAAAGGUUCGUCGAAUAACGAGCAAAUUAUUGUGAAUGACUUGCACCGCAGAUAUAAAUUGUUCGAGGAAUAACCUUGUGAAAUUUUU
This is a long non-coding RNA of Venturia canescens, 1873 nucleotides long. RefSeq lists it as uncharacterized. The record is from RefSeq and is a predicted model, not a curated record. The transcript has 2 exons. NCBI's taxonomy places the organism in Eukaryota, Metazoa, Arthropoda, Insecta, Hymenoptera, Ichneumonidae.